Molecule: long non-coding RNA, 848 nt
Organism: Anguilla anguilla (European eel)
Lineage: Eukaryota; Metazoa; Chordata; Actinopteri; Anguilliformes; Anguillidae
Exons: 3
Source: RefSeq, a predicted model, not a curated record
UAUCCCAUCAAUCAGCUUACUAUACUAUCCUAUUAGCCUCACAGCAGUGAGGAACGGGGCAGUAGAAGAGCAAACACCCAGCCCAUAUGGAUCCGCACUGCUGUGAGUACUGCAGACGCAACCAAAAAUCACCUGAUCACCACUACUGAUCAGUGCUCCAUACACUGGGUUUUCUAGGGAAAUUUAAGAGCUGGAGUUUUGUGGAUGAGGAAUUCUACCAACUGGACAAAAGCCGGAAUGUAGAAGACUAGAGAGCUGGUAAACUAUGUAGAGAGACGUUUUGACAUAAACAGACUAGAUUAACUCCAAUAUCGCUCGGUUUUUACCUGGAUAUAGACUGGCUAUGUACUCCUCGGCUAGAAAACAAAUAAAGCCAGGUUUUCACCUGAACGCCUAGAUGGCGUUUCACUGACUGUUCACAACGAAAAAAUUGGUAGGAGCAAUAUUUCUUAAGAAGUAAUUUAAGUAAAUUCAUAAAAUUAUUCAUUAUGAAGUAAACAAAAGGCACAUUAAAUGAUCAAAAGUAGAAAGUGAAAUUGAACAAGACUGAUGGAAGUAUUAGGCGUCGGACAGGGAAUGGUAGCCUAAUACUUAGGCAUCACCAGGUUCAAUCUGGCCAACUCAGUUGGAAAAUCAUGAGGCAACUCAAGGAAAUUGGAAUGCAAAUUUAUUUAAUACUGUUGUGGAGCCGGAACAGAGCCGCAGAGUGAUGUGGUAGAGGUGGAGGUUAUUGCAGAGAGGGAGGAUCACCACGACAAGGCAUGACAGACACAGAACAGAGCUUUCACUUGGUUUGUUGAAGUUUCCCCAGCUGACAGAAAGAGUAGAAGCAUAUCCAUACCUUCGCU